GUGGCUGGAUCGGUGCACGGUGCCCAGGGAGCGGUGCCUCGACGAGGACAAGGAGCAUAGAGAGACUCCAUCAGAAUACGACCAAAAGAGGCAGCAGCUCCUCCUUCACCCCGUAGUCCAGUGGCCGAUGCUCUCAGCCAGAAUGUGGCUGACCCAUUUGUUGUUUCCUGGCUAAUCUUCAACCACUGUGGAGACCACCGUAAUGUGGUUGCUUUUGUGGAGACCAUAUCACCGGCUGCUGCAAACAUGCAGAGCACUGGAGAAGAAAAUAGAUGGGAAAAGGAGGACAUUCAAGUGUUGGGCCUUGAGGAUAUCAUCAGGCUCUGAAACUACUGGCAUGGCUGCACAUUUGUGGACUGCCUCUCAGCCCAAGCUUAUCACUACCACUGGCCAGCCUCUCCAUCAAACACCGGACUGCCUUUUCCUCAGACCAGCUGCACCCCCAAAUUCUCUGGCUGAUGAAUUUGGACUUUCCAGGAGAUCUACUCUGGGUCUGGGUGCUGGAGCUAUCAGAGCUAGCAGAUGCAGAGAGCUGGCAAGUCUGCUUUUGUAUCUUCUCAGUUUGAGUGGAGGCUGGGAAGGUCUUUCUGAUCUAUUUCCAGAUGGCAUAAUAUAUGUGGCUUUGAUGCAUUUGCUACAAAAUGGCAAUCGAGCACACUCCAGGAUCCCAAUUUUAUGUUAA
Molecule: long non-coding RNA, 682 nt
Filed under: Anser brachyrhynchus (Pink-footed goose)
Lineage: Eukaryota; Metazoa; Chordata; Aves; Anseriformes; Anatidae
Description: lncRNA (ENSABRG00000005609.1)
Source: RNAcentral